This 355-nucleotide unclassified non-coding RNA is filed under the name soil metagenome. RNAcentral describes it as "partial contains 5.8S ribosomal RNA, internal transcribed spacer 2, and large subunit ribosomal RNA". The stretch from base 1 to 120 matches the Rfam family "5.8S ribosomal RNA", at positions 35 to 154 of the family's 154-position model. The record is from RNAcentral.
GAUGAAGAACGUAGCGAAAUGCGAUAAGUAGUGUGAAUUGCAGAAUUCAGUGAAUCAUCGAAUCUUUGAACGCACAUUGCGCCUUCUAGUAUUCUGGGAGGCAUGCCUGUUUGAGCGUCAUUAAACCUCUCUCAAGUAUGAUUACUUGGAUGUGAAGGAAGAGUACCUUAAACUUAAGGAGUGUUCUCCUUUGAAAUUGAUUAGCAGAUGGUAAUGUUAUUAAAUUCCUGAUGUUGUAAGAAAUAACAGUGGUUUUGUAGACUAUUAUCUAGCUUUAAAUUAUAAUUUUUAUUAUGGUUGACCUCAAAUCAGGUAAGGAUACCCGCUGAACUUAAGCAUAUCAAUAAGCGGAGGA